This 498-nucleotide ribosomal RNA is filed under the name uncultured bacterium. RNAcentral's name for it is "partial 16S ribosomal RNA". It matches the Rfam family "Bacterial small subunit ribosomal RNA", at positions 30 to 523 of the family's 1533-position model. The record is from RNAcentral.
AUUGAACGCUGGCGGAAUGCUUUACACAUGCAAGUCGAACGGCAGCACGGACUUCGGUCUGGUGGCGAGUGGCGAACGGGUGAGUAAUGUAUCGGAACGUGCCCAGUCGUGGGGGAUAACGUAGUGAAAAUUACGCUAAUACCGCAUACGAUCUAUGGAUGAAAGCGGGGGAUCGCAAGACCUCGCGCGAUUGGAGCGGCCGAUAUCAGAUUAGGUAGUUGGUGGGGUAAAGGCCCACCAAGCCAACGAUCUGUAGCUGGUCUGAGAGGACGACCAGCCACACUGGAACUGAGACACGGUCCAGACUCCUACGGGAGGCAGCAGUGGGGAAUUUUGGACAAUGGGCGAAAGCCUGAUCCAGCCAUUCCGCGUGCAGGAUGAAGGCCCUCGGGUUGUAAACUGCUUUUGUACAGAACGAAAAGGUUUCUACUAAUACUAGGAGCUCAUGACGGUACUGUAAGAAAGCACCGGCUAACUACGUGCCAGCAGCCGCAGUAA